CCCGGGGCCGCGCCUUCCCUCCCACCGCGAGGGCCCGCGAGGGGCUCCGUGGGCAGCGCUGCCGCCUGGCGCCGGGGUGCGCCCACGUGGAGCGCGGGUGGGUGGGGAGAGCCCGCCGAGCCUGGGGCGGGGAGGUUGGGGUGCCCGGGCGACGUGUCCAGGCUUGCGGCUGGGCGAGGGAGGAAGAAAUUAACUUCAAGAUUCAAGGCCUUACAUUUGAGAAGGACUAAGGGCAAAGCCUUUGUUUUGUGUGCGGAUCUGUUGUUGGUGGGAACUCAGCUUAGCCGCUGAAGCCAAAGAACAUGUUCAGAUUCCAGUCUCUGCUUCACUGAGUGGGGCAAGAUCUUCAGGAUAUUUAUAUGGUAAGGUCAUUCAAU
This 377-nucleotide long non-coding RNA is filed under the name Neogale vison (American mink). RNAcentral's name for it is "Neovison vison (American mink) lncRNA (ENSNVIG00000024799.1)". Lineage: Eukaryota; Metazoa; Chordata; Mammalia; Carnivora; Mustelidae. The record is from RNAcentral.